This 478-nucleotide ribosomal RNA is filed under the name uncultured bacterium. RNAcentral's name for it is "partial 16S ribosomal RNA". It matches the Rfam family "Bacterial small subunit ribosomal RNA", at positions 28 to 523 of the family's 1533-position model. The record is from RNAcentral.
GACGAACGCUGGCGGCGUGCUUAACACAUGCAAGUCGAGCGAUGAAGUUCCUUCGGGAACGGAUUAGCGGCGGACGGGUGAGUAACACGUGGGUAACCUGCCUCAUAGAGGGGAAUAGCCUUUCGAAAGGAAGAUUAAUACCGCAUAAGAUUGUAGUAUCGCAUGAUAUAGCAAUUAAAGGAGUAAUUCGCUAUGAGAUGGACCCGCGUCGCAUUAGCUAGUUGGUGAGGUAACGGCACACCAAGGCGACGAUGCGUAGCCGACCUUAGAGGGUGAUCGGCCACAUUGGGACUGAGACACGGCCCAGACUCCUACGGGAGGCAGCAGUGGGGAAUAUUGCACAAUGGGGGAAACCCUGAUGCAGCAACGCCGCGUGAGUGAUGACGGUCUUCGGAUUGUAAAGCUCUGUCUUCAGGGACGAUAAUGACGGUACCUGAGGAGGAAGCCACGGCUAACUACGUGCCAGCAGCCGCAGUAA